UACGUAGGGGGCGAGCGUUGUCCGGAUUUAUUGGGCGUAAAGAGCUCGUAGGCGGUUUGGCAAGUCGGGUGUGAAAACUCCGGGCUCAACUCGGAGACGCCACUCGAUACUGCUAUGACUCGAGUCCGGUAGGGGAGUGCGGAAUUCCCGGUGUAGCGGUGAAAUGCGUAGAGAUCGGGAGGAACACCAGUGGCGAAGGCGGCACCCUGGACCAGCACUGACACUGAGGCACGAAAGCGUGGGGAGCAAACAGG
Molecule: ribosomal RNA, 254 nt
Filed under: uncultured bacterium
Lineage: Bacteria
Description: partial 16S ribosomal RNA
Rfam family: Bacterial small subunit ribosomal RNA
Source: RNAcentral